AACGAACGCUGGCGGCGUGGAUAAGACAUGCAAGUCGAACGCUGAUUUCAGGGUAGCAAUAUUCUGGAGUCGGAGUGGCGCAAGGGUGCGUAACACGUGGGUAAUCUGCCGUGAAGCCUGAAAUAACUCGCUGAAAGGCGAGCUAAUGUCGGAUGUGAUGUUUGGGAGGCAUCUCCUGAACCUCAAAGCUGGGGACCGUAAGGCCUGGCACUUCAUGAUGAGCCCGCGGCCUAUCAGCUAGUUGGUGAGGUAACGGCUCACCAAGGCUAAGACGGGUAGCUGGUCUGAGAGGACGACCAGCCACACUGGAACUGAGACACGGUCCAGACACCUACGGGUGCUG
Molecule: ribosomal RNA, 343 nt
Filed under: uncultured Verrucomicrobiota bacterium
Lineage: Bacteria; Pseudomonadati; Verrucomicrobiota
Description: bacterial SSU rRNA
Rfam family: Bacterial small subunit ribosomal RNA
Source: RNAcentral